GCACAAGCGGUGGAGCAUGUGGUUUAAUUCGACGCAACGCGAAGAACCUUACCUGGGCUUGACAUGUUCCUGACCGCCGUGGAAACACGGUUUCCCUUCGGGGCAGGAUCACAGGUGGUGCAUGGCUGUCGUCAGCUCGUGUCGUGAGAUGUUGGGUUAAGUCCCGCAACGAGCGCAACCCUCGUUCUGUGUUGCCAGCAUGCCUUUCGGGGUGAUGGGGACUCACAGGAGACUGCCGGGGUCAACUCGGAGGAAGGUGGGGACGACGUCAAAUCAUCAUGCCCCUUAUGUCUUGGGCUGCACACGUGCUACAAUGGCCGGUACAAUGAGCUGCGAUGCCGUGAGGUGGAGCGAAUCUCAAAAAGCCGGUCUCAGUUCGGAUUGGGGUCUGCAACUCGACCCCAUGAAGUCGGAGUUGCUAGUAAUCGCAGAUCAGCAUUGCUGCGGUGAAUACGUUCCCGGGC
RNAcentral lists this ribosomal RNA (464 nucleotides) under uncultured bacterium. Its description in RNAcentral is "bacterial SSU rRNA". It matches the Rfam family "Bacterial small subunit ribosomal RNA", at positions 923 to 1379 of the family's 1533-position model. The record is from RNAcentral.